GAUGAACGCUGGCGGCGGGCCUAAUACAUGCAAGUCGAGCGAACAGACGAGGAGCUUGCUCCGCUGACGUUAGCGGCGGACGGGUGAUUAACACGUGGAUAACCUACCUAUAAGACUGGGAUAACUUCGGGAAACCGGAGCUAAUACCGGAUAAUAUAUUGAACCGCAUGGUUCAAUAGUGAAAUACGGUUUUUCUUUCACUUAUAGAUGGAUCCGCGCCGCAUUAGCUAGUUGGUAAGGUAACGGCUUACCAAGGAGAGGAUGCGUAGCCGACCUGAGAGGGUGUACGGCCAGACUGGCACUGAGACACGGUAGCGACUCCUACGGGAGGAAGCAGUAGGGACUCCUACGCAAGGGGGGAAAGCCUGACGGAGCAAAGCGGCGUGAGUGAUGAAGGUCUUCGGAUCGUAAAAUUCUGUUAUUCGGGAAGAACAAAUGUGUAAGUACCUAUGCACGUCUUGACGGUACCUAAUCAGAAAGCCACGGCUAACUACGUG
RNAcentral lists this ribosomal RNA (497 nucleotides) under uncultured bacterium. RNAcentral describes it as "partial 16S ribosomal RNA". It matches the Rfam family "Bacterial small subunit ribosomal RNA", at positions 28 to 507 of the family's 1533-position model. The record is from RNAcentral.